AAAGCAUGGGGAGCGAACAGGAUUAGACACCUUGGUAGUCCAUGCCGUAAACGAUGAGUGUUCGCCCUUGGUCUACGCGGAAUAGGGGCCCAGCUAACGUGUGAAACACUC
This 111-nucleotide non-coding RNA is filed under the name Macleaya cordata. Its description in RNAcentral is "Bacterial small subunit ribosomal RNA". It matches the Rfam family "Bacterial small subunit ribosomal RNA", at positions 756 to 869 of the family's 1533-position model. Lineage: Eukaryota; Viridiplantae; Streptophyta; Magnoliopsida; Ranunculales; Papaveraceae. The record is from Rfam by way of RNAcentral.